RNAcentral lists this ribosomal RNA (409 nucleotides) under uncultured bacterium. Its description in RNAcentral is "bacterial SSU rRNA". It matches the Rfam family "Bacterial small subunit ribosomal RNA", at positions 355 to 774 of the family's 1533-position model. RNAcentral also lists the same sequence under 1 other name. The record is from RNAcentral.
UGGGGAAUAUUGCACAAUGGGCGAAAGCCUGAUGCAGCAACGCCGCGUGGGGGAUGACGGCCUUCGGGUUGUAAACCUCUUUUGGUAGGGAAGAAGCUUUCGGGUGACGGUACCUGCAGAAAAAGGACCGGCUAACUACGUGCCAGCAGCCGCGGUAAUACGUAGGGUCCGAGCGUUGUCCGGAAUUAUUGGGCGUAAAGAGCUCGUAGGCGGUUCGUCGCGUCUGCCGUGAAAUCCUCAGGCUCAACUUGAGGCGUGCGGUGGGUACGGGCGAGCUAGAGUGCGGUAGGGGAGAAUGGAACUCCUGGUGUAGCGGUGGAAUGCGCAGAUAUCAGGAAGAACACCGAUGGCGAAGGCAGUUCUCUGGGCCGUAACUGACGCUGAGGAGCGAAAGCGUGGGGAGCGAACA